Molecule: transfer RNA, 83 nt
Filed under: Kastovskya adunca ATA6-11-RM4
Lineage: Bacteria; Bacillati; Cyanobacteriota; Cyanophyceae; Coleofasciculales; Coleofasciculaceae
Also listed under: 1 other name
Description: tRNA-Leu
Rfam family: tRNA
About the family: Transfer RNA (tRNA) molecules are approximately 80 nucleotides in length. Their secondary structure includes four short double-helical elements and three loops (D, anti-codon, and T loops). Further hydrogen bonds mediate the characteristic L-shaped molecular structure. tRNAs have two regions of fundamental functional importance: the anti-codon, which is responsible for specific mRNA codon recognition, and the 3' end, to which the tRNAs corresponding amino acid is attached (by aminoacyl-tRNA synthetases). tRNAs cope with the degeneracy of the genetic code in two manners: having more than one tRNA (with a specific anti-codon) for a particular amino acid; and 'wobble' base-pairing, i.e. permitting non-standard base-pairing at the 3rd anti-codon position.
Source: RNAcentral
GGGCGGAUGGCGGAAUUGGUAGACGCACCACACUCAAAAUGUGGCGACCUUUGGUCGUGAGAGUUCGAGUCUCUCCCCGCCCA